Molecule: long non-coding RNA, 451 nt
Filed under: Physcomitrium patens
Lineage: Eukaryota; Viridiplantae; Streptophyta; Bryopsida; Funariales; Funariaceae
Description: long non-coding RNA (PPAT_LNC000031)
Source: RNAcentral
AUUGGAAGUCACAGCAAGAAUAGGUAAUGGAAGAAUAAAUUCAAGACUUGCAAUAAGACAAAAAAGAAGUUAGAGAGGAGGGCGAGGAUUAGGAGUUUCAACGGGAUAAAGAAGAAAUUGGAGAUGAAGGCCAAGACUAGGAGUGGAAACUGGAGAAGGAAGAAGUUGGAGAGGAGGGCCAUAACUAGGACUUGUGAUGGGAAUAACAAGCAUGAUAGAGAGGGUGGCUGGUCUUCCAAAAAAUAAAUUGUCUCUCAAAACUACCUCAAUGCAAUAGGAGGGGAGAGCUUGCUAAAGCCCAUAAAGAAUACUAUGAAGGAAAAGGGUUCUUUUAAAACAUAUUGAAAAAAAUUGUGAGGGGAUGAUGGUUACUUGGUGCCUAUGGAUCUUGAUUGCUCUAAUCUUCUUUGAGUCUAAUACCAAAAUUUGCAAAAGAGAUACAUAAGUACUA